Molecule: ribosomal RNA, 521 nt
Filed under: uncultured bacterium
Lineage: Bacteria
Description: bacterial SSU rRNA
Rfam family: Bacterial small subunit ribosomal RNA
Source: RNAcentral
CCAGAGAACUUAGCAGAGAUGCUUUGGUGCCUUCGGGAACUCUGAGACAGGUGCUGCAUGGCUGUCGUCAGCUCGUGCUGUGAAAUGUUGGGUUAAGUCCCGNAACGAGCGCAACCCCUAUCCUUUGUUGCCAGCGAUUCGGUCGGGAACUCAAAGGAGACUGCCGGUGAUAAACCGGAGGAAGGUGGGGAUGACGUCAAGUCAUCAUGGCCCUUACGAGUAGGGCUACACACGUGCUACAAUGGCGCAUACAAAGAGAAGCGACCUCGCGAGUGCAAGCGGACCUCAUAAAGUGCGUCGUAGUCCGGAUUGGAGUCUGCAACUCGACUCCAUGAAGUCGGAAUCGCUAGUAAUCGUAGAUCAGAAUGCUACGGUGAAUACGUUCCCGGGCCUUGUACACACCGCCCGUCACACCAUGGGAGUGGGUUGCAAAAGAAGUAGAUAGCUUAACCUUCGGGAGGGCGUUUACCACUUUGUGAUUCAUGACUGGGGUGAAGUCGUAACAAGGUAAGCGUACGUGU